GUGUGAAUCUCAGGGCGUUUCUCCUUUGGCACGCUGGCAUGCAUGUAUUGGUAACAGGAGCUAGCCAGGUGAGUUUGCAGGUGAAGAAGCUCCAGGGAGGCUAGAUAACCUUUGUCGUGCGUGCCAAAGGAGAAUUGCCCUGCGAUUCACCU
This is a non-coding RNA of Triticum aestivum (bread wheat), 152 nucleotides long. NCBI's taxonomy places the organism in Eukaryota, Viridiplantae, Streptophyta, Magnoliopsida, Poales, Poaceae. The record is from Rfam.